UGUUUCCUUUCUUGAGUGUGG
This 21-nucleotide unclassified non-coding RNA is filed under the name Dictyostelium discoideum. The record is from RNAcentral. Lineage: Eukaryota; Evosea; Eumycetozoa; Dictyosteliales; Dictyosteliaceae.